UGGCUGUAACCAGAAUCCUUAUAUUUUAGGUACAGACUUUUAUUUUUAAUAGUUUUCCUAUUAAGACUUCUGGAUUCUCCAAAACACAGCCUAAUGAAGUGAGGAGACACCCGUGUUUGAGUUUCUGCUGGUCUCAGCAGGUAAAUACCAGUGUGCACUGAGUCUGUUUACUUACCUGAAAAAGGAAAAAUGACCAUCCCUAGCUUACAGGACCCUUGUGUAGAAUAAUGAAAUACAAAAUGUGGCAUACAGUGAAUGACUUGUCAAUAAAUAGUAUAUGAAAUGGCAAAUUGACCUGAUGGGAAUAUGUUGACCACAUGGCUAUAUUAUAUACAGAGAGUGGAUACACACAGGGGUUUGCAUAAAUCUUUCUGUGUGUGUGUGUCUGUCUGUCUGUCUGUCUGAGUAGUUUCAGAACCUUGGCACUGAAUGAGGCUUCUGUCAAACCCUUGAAGAACUUAUCUUUUUUUCUGAUCUGAAAUUGACUUCCUCAAACUGAGAUCCUAUGUGAUCGUCUUAUAAAAUUCUUGGGACCCAUUCAUCUUGUGCCAACUCUGAAUAAAAUAUAUUGAGGAAGCCCCUGAGGAGACAGAGGGAUAGUUGUUAUUCCUAUAGUUUCGCAAAUGCACCCAGCUCAUUGAUUUAAGCAUAGCUUAACCUUUGAAGAAUGUGGGUUCUCCCUAGCAGUAGCAUUCUCCAGCAAGCUCAGAGUAGGCAGCAAAAUUAGAGCUUGACCACGUACAAAGGACUUUCCUACGUAUCACUCAGCUCAGUGGCUUUCUGCCUGGGGUUCAAUGACAAAGAACUGUGUCCACUCAUCAUCAUGAUCAUUGCCAAGUCUUUUCUUUCAUUUAUUCCAGGGAUCAAAAGUCACGUGGGUCAGAUUUGAAUUUCUCAGUGUCAAAGAAUUAACCAGUACCCUCUGGUGGAGGGCAGCUAGAAGACACUGUAAGGCAAGAAGAGAAAAGCAAGAUCUGAAGACAUCAAUAGAAAACAGGACCAUGAGAAUUCGCUCCAUUUCCUGGUCAAACCACGCCUGUUUGAGAAAUGCUGUGCUAGGGUUUACAACUUGAGCUCAAGGAUACAUUCCUGGGGAAGUCUACUGAGUGGAGCCAUUCCUUCCUAGGGACUAGGCUGCUGCAUUCUGUUCCUGUGGCUGAAACAGGUGACCAUAGACUCAGUGGUUUAAACAGUGCAAUGUUACUAUCUAGUCGUUUUAGAAACCAAAGUCCAACAUGGGUCUCAUUGGGCUAAAAUCAAGGGGAUUUCAGGGUUGGUUUCUUCAGGAGGCUCCAGGGUGGAAGCCACUUCCUGCCUUU
Molecule: long non-coding RNA, 1319 nt
Filed under: Macaca mulatta (Rhesus monkey)
Lineage: Eukaryota; Metazoa; Chordata; Mammalia; Primates; Cercopithecidae
Description: lncRNA (ENSMMUG00000058810.1)
Source: RNAcentral